This 18-nucleotide transfer RNA is filed under the name Pseudogekko brevipes (Luzon false gecko). RNAcentral's name for it is "partial tRNA-Asx". The record is from RNAcentral. Lineage: Eukaryota; Metazoa; Chordata; Lepidosauria; Squamata; Gekkonidae.
CUAGCUUGGCGGGCCUUG